AAGUCGUAACAAGGUUUCCGUAGGUGAACCUGCGGAAGGAUCAUUACUGAGUUCAUGCCCUCACGGGGUAGAUCUCCACCCUUGAAUAUUUAAACCUUUGUUGCUUUGGCGGGCCGCUUCGGCCACCGGCUUUGGCUGGUGAGUGCCCGCCAGAGAAACCAAAACUCUGAAUUAUAGUGUCGUCUGAGUACUAUAUAAUAGUUAAAACUUUCAACAACGGAUCUCUUGGUUCUG
RNAcentral lists this unclassified non-coding RNA (234 nucleotides) under fungal sp. Its description in RNAcentral is "partial internal transcribed spacer region". The stretch from base 1 to 46 matches the Rfam family "Eukaryotic small subunit ribosomal RNA", at positions 1786 to 1831 of the family's 1831-position model. The record is from RNAcentral. Lineage: Eukaryota; Fungi.